ACCAAAGUAGUGCAUCAACAACAGCUACCAUCAAUUUUGCCUUCAUGUUUUAGGUUCCUUUUGAAAAUUUCAACCACAAAAACUGUUCUGCAGUCCCAAAAGCAUGAUUGUAGAACUUGGUUGUGAAUGGAUAAAUGCAGGUUAAAAGAUUUUUGAUGCAAAGCUGCCACUAAGCUCGGGAGACACAAAAUGCAUUCUCAUUUUGGGAUACAAAGUUAAUCAAGGGUUUGAUCCAAAACUGUGAAUGAUAACAACUGUAAAAAUUUCAUCCACAAAAGAUGCACACAGGGGCAGAGGUAUUAAGGGGCCCGGUGCCCUUUCUGCUUCCAUUGAUUUAGGACUUACGAACUGGCGACUCCUACUGCUUUUCAUGUUGUUCUUUGAUUGAAUAAGCUUGAAAUUGCUCAAUUGAAUCAGUUUGAAUGUUUGAUUCCAGCAGACAGGUGAUUGUAUACAUAGAAAGGGAAAUUGCGAUGCAAUUUAUUUUAGCGUCAAUCAAUCCUAGAUGAUUUUGGAGAUUUUAAAACAUGUCGGUUUCACUUUGAUAGAUUAUUAAACUACUUUUGUUCUAUUUUGAUGGAUAAUCAAUCUUGAAAAAUAUUUUUUGGCUUAUCCUUUGACUAUGGAAUGCAAGUAUAUUGUUAGUUUUUUCUUUUACUUAUUUAGUAAGUAAUAGAGAGAUGUGUGAUGUUAAAAAAUUUUCCGCAAUGACUCGACCCCCCGGGAUUCUUAAUCCUAACUCCGCCACUGGAUGCACAUAACUGGGUUUCAGACGACACACCCUGUGCCAUGUUCACAGUGCUUCUCAUGAACUUAAGGGACCUACUAGUUAUGUGUUUCAGAUGAUAGACCAUAUGACAUGUUCAAAACACAGUGCUUCUCAUGAACUUAAGGAACCUCCUAAGUACUAACAUAUUUGUAGAGAUCCGUAUUUUUGAGGUCGUAUUUUUCUUUUAUGAACGUACGACCCGUCGAGAUAGACAGUGCGGAUAUUCGGUGUGACUUCUUCGUGGGAGGAUAUAAGGAUAAUUGUGCGAGAGGUGCAUGUGUGUGUGUGUGGGGUGGAAGCAUGGGAUUACUCCCCAUGCCAUUAAUUUUCCCAGGAGAAUAAUUUCUCCCAUUUUCCCCCUUCCUCACUCUCGGCUAUCUCUCCCUCCUCUUCUCCAUCCGCAAAACUCUCCCUCUCUUCUCUCUUCGAUCUCUUCACCUUAGAGCGUGAUUCCGAACGAAGUUCAAGAAUUAAAGUUGCUAUACGAAACACGGGCUUUCCGAAUAUCCAAGAAAAUUCAUGAUCGGACGUCGUUGGAGCUCGGUUGACUCGGUCAAAGGGUCGGGUUUUGCUCAAAACCCAUGAGGUACACUACAGGAACAUAGUCUUGGAGGGUGUGAAGUGCAUGCAGACAUCACAGACUAAAGUUAUUUUCUGAAGUACUUGUCUUUCAUCGUAAAUUAAAUUGCAUUGUACUAUUCUCUCUAUUUUGGAAUACUGUAUCAAUUGACAGAUUUGUGAGAUUCAGAAACUGUAUUGUAAUUUGGGGUACCGUAUGUACUAUUGUGAGGAUUCGUAUUUAAAAUAGCAUUGUUAUUUAUGUUAAAAA
This is a long non-coding RNA of Rhododendron vialii, 1598 nucleotides long. RefSeq lists it as uncharacterized. Lineage: Eukaryota; Viridiplantae; Streptophyta; Magnoliopsida; Ericales; Ericaceae. The record is from RefSeq and is a predicted model, not a curated record. The transcript is spliced from 2 exons.